Long non-coding RNA from Bos taurus (domestic cattle), 902 nucleotides. The record is from Ensembl. NCBI's taxonomy places the organism in Eukaryota, Metazoa, Chordata, Mammalia, Artiodactyla, Bovidae.
GGUCUGUUGUGUAAGCAGAAAUUGCCACACUUUGACAAAGCACUGCUUAAAUAUUUUGGUGGGGCGGCCUCCACUUUAAAGUUUUUGAGGAGGGUUGGGGGGGGAUUAGUCAACCAGCUGCUAAAGCUCAGUUACUCAGCUUGUUAAGAGUUAACUUCACAUCUGGAUCUAGUCAGUGUGAGGCUGAGUGCAAAAGCCAACAGAGAACCAAGGAAUACCAUAGCAAGGGAGGCAGACAUGACCAGCGCCUGCCUUUUGUCAUAAAUACAACUGUCACCUCAAGCUCAGCAGGUUGCUCAGUGGUAAAGAAUCUGUCCGCCAAUGCAGGAGACCCAAGAAAAGCAGGUUGGAUCCCUGUGUUGGGAAGAUCCCAUGGAGUAGGAAAUGGCAACUCACUCCAGGAUUCUUGGCUGGAAAAUCCCAUGGACAGUGGAGUCUGGCGGGCUCACUGAGUCAGACAGGACUGAGCAUGGGCACGAAUUUCCUCCUUAAAGGUCCCACCUCCAAAUAUCACCACUCCAUCACAUUGGGCUCCAACUAACGAAUUUGGGGUAUUGGACGGGAAGGACACAUUCAGUUCAUGCCCACAUUUUUAAGCAGGAGACUAGAGUCUAGCCCCUGGGUUGGGAAGAUCCCCUGGAGGAAGAAAUGGCAGCACACUCCAGUAUUCUUGCCCAGAAAAUUCCAGGGACAGAGGAUCCUGGUAGGCUAUAGUUCAUUCGGUGGCAAAAAGAGUUGCGUGUGACUGAGCACACACAAACAAUUUUACAAAAAAUAAACUAAAUGAAAUAAAUGUCAUCCUUAGUAAUGAAAUAAUCUCUUUUUAAACUGAAAUAGAGUUGAUUUACAAUGUUUCAGAUGCAUGCCAAAGUGAUUCAAUUGUACAUAGAUAUAUCUAUUCU